CUUAAUCUAAAUAUUAAGAUAAGGUAAGAGAAAAUAAUGAUAUUAUCUUACUAUUAGUGUCGUCUAAAUUUGGUGCCAGAAGACUCGGUAAGACCUUAGACGCAAACGUUAAUCGUCAUAAUCAGGCGUAAAGGGUGUGUAGGCUGCUUUAAAAAAUAUAAUAAGUAAUAUAAUUAUUAUAGCAAAAAAAUUAUAUUUUAAUAAAAGCUAGAAUCUAAAAGAGGGUAAGCUAAACAACAUAAUUAACUGGGACUGACAACUUAUAAUAAUGUGGAGUACUAAAGGUUAAAGCUAUUUAUCUACUGAAGAUUGACGCUGAGAAACGAAGGGGAGAAUAAGAAACUUAGAUUAGAGACCUAAUUAUCUCUCUCAGUCAACGAUGAAUGGUAGUUAUUAAAAAUUUUAUAAUUUUAGUAACGAGGUUAACACGAUGACCAUUCCGCCUUGUUAGUAAGACUGCAAAGUUGAAAACAAAAAAAUUAGUCGGUCUUGAAGCAAACGAAGUGAAGCAUGUUAUUUAAUUCGAUAAUCCGCA
Molecule: ribosomal RNA, 535 nt
Filed under: Zangia chlorinosma
Lineage: Eukaryota; Fungi; Basidiomycota; Agaricomycetes; Boletales; Boletaceae
Description: partial small subunit ribosomal RNA
Rfam family: Bacterial small subunit ribosomal RNA
Source: RNAcentral